Phascolarctos cinereus (koala) is the source of this 430-nucleotide long non-coding RNA. RefSeq lists it as uncharacterized. The record is from RefSeq and is a predicted model, not a curated record. Lineage: Eukaryota; Metazoa; Chordata; Mammalia; Diprotodontia; Phascolarctidae.
CUGAUCUUCAAAUGCAAGACUCAAGACAGGCGUAAAAAGGUCUGUUUCCUGCUUGGUUUUAAGUCCCACUGCACAAGUCACUUAACCUCUCAAUCCUUUAGAAUCAAUGAUGUCAAGCUCCAACAGAAAGGGUGGCUGCUAAUCCAUACAGGAGGAUCCCUUUGGGCUAUAUGCAGACUUAGUUUUAAAACUGUAUUUAUCCUGUUUUGGAAGGAACACUUGGGAGUAUUACAGCAUACAUGUUUGCCGCCUCUGCUCUAGAUAACCCUCCAAGACUAGAGGUUGCAGAGAAAGUCCUGGACUGUUUUGUUGGAAGGAAUUUCCUUAUCUGGACGUUUUCUGUAACAAGGAAAUCACCAUUUCAGCCCUAUCCCUUCUUAUAUAUUGUUGUAUUUUGUUUUCUUGAUAAAGUCUACCACUCUUUUAUGGA